GAGGAAUCUUGCGCAAUGGGCGAAAGCCUGACGCAGCGACGCCGCGUGGAGGAAGACGGCCUUCGGGUUGUAAACUCCUGUCAGAGGUGAAGAACCCCCGCAAGGGGUUGACGGUAACCUCAGAGGAAGCCCCGGCUAACUACGUGCCAGCAGCCGCGGUAAUACGUAGGGGGCAAACGUUACUCGGAAUUACUGGGCGUAAAGGGUGUGUAGGCGGCUGGGUAAGUCAAGGAUGAAAUUCCGGGGCUCAACUUCGGAAUCGUCUUUGAAACUGCCCGGCUUGAGGAUAGUAGAGGAGAAUGGAAUUCCCGGUGGAGCGGUGAAAUGCGUAGAUAUCGGGAGGAACACCCGAGGCGUAAGCGAUUCUCUAGGCUAUUCCUGACGCUGAAACACGAAAGCUAGGGGAGCGAACGG
RNAcentral lists this ribosomal RNA (414 nucleotides) under uncultured bacterium. RNAcentral describes it as "bacterial SSU rRNA". It matches the Rfam family "Bacterial small subunit ribosomal RNA", at positions 356 to 775 of the family's 1533-position model. The record is from RNAcentral.